AGUGGAUUUACUAAGGUCCAUACUUGGUUCGAGUACAUCGAGUCAAUUUCUGACUUCAUCGCAUCUAACUAUUUCUCAGAAUCGAUAACAGAUAUUGCCUCAUCAAAGGUAUUAGGAUCAUCAUCAUGAUUCUUAUCUUCCAUAAAAAAUAUUUUCUUUACUUCUUUCGUAAGCAUACCCAUGUACCUUUCAAGAGGUCAAAAGAUCCUGCU
This 212-nucleotide long non-coding RNA is filed under the name Elaeis guineensis (African oil palm). RNAcentral's name for it is "long non-coding RNA (EGUI_LNC070334)". Lineage: Eukaryota; Viridiplantae; Streptophyta; Magnoliopsida; Arecales; Arecaceae. The record is from RNAcentral.